UGGGGAAUAUGGCCAACUGGUGGUAACUCUGAUGCAGCGACGCCGCGUGAACGAAGAAGGCUUUCGAGUCGUAAAGUUCUUUUAUAUGGGAAGAUAAUGACGGUACCAUAAGAAGAAGCCCCGGCUAACUACGUGCCAGCAGCCGCGGUAAUACGUAGGGGGCUAGCGUUGUCCGGAAUCACUGGGCGUAAAGGGUUCGCAGGCGGAAAUGCAAGUCAGGUGUAAAAGGCAGUAGCUUAACUACUGUAAGCAUUUGAAACUGCAUAUCUUGAGAAGAGUAGAGGUAAGUGGAAUUUUUAGUGUAGCGGUGAAAUGCGUAGAUAUUAAAAAGAAUACCGGUGGCGAAGGCGACUUACUGGGCUCAUUCUGACGCUGAGGAACGAAAGCGUGGGUAGCAAACAGG
RNAcentral lists this ribosomal RNA (403 nucleotides) under bacterium. Its description in RNAcentral is "partial 16S ribosomal RNA". It matches the Rfam family "Bacterial small subunit ribosomal RNA", at positions 355 to 776 of the family's 1533-position model. The record is from RNAcentral.